RNAcentral lists this long non-coding RNA (354 nucleotides) under Elaeis guineensis (African oil palm). RNAcentral describes it as "long non-coding RNA (EGUI_LNC051091)". Lineage: Eukaryota; Viridiplantae; Streptophyta; Magnoliopsida; Arecales; Arecaceae. The record is from RNAcentral.
AAUCGUAAUAUUCAGAACCUACGUGAAUAUGGUUACCGUAUAAUUCAUCCCUUUUGACCCCCUGUGUUUAGGAUGACUCAGGGUUAAACUGUCAACCCUGAUGAGAUCAUCCGAAUCGUGCUCAACUCAAUUAGUCCUGUGACUCCUCACUAGGACUACCCUGGCCAAGAUUUUGAUAAAUUGAAACAUGACUGUACACAGCUCCUAAACUAGAGUGGUCAAUCCCAUCUUGACACACGCACCGACAAGUCAAGUACUUGACUACACCCAGCAGCCUUCUGUCACUGAAUUAGAAAUUCAGGUAGUCCAGUGCCUAAGUAUAGUGAGUUGCUUGCAAGUCACCAUGGCGGUCUC